RNAcentral lists this long non-coding RNA (201 nucleotides) under Vigna radiata. RNAcentral describes it as "long non-coding RNA (VRAD_LNC006955)". The record is from RNAcentral. Lineage: Eukaryota; Viridiplantae; Streptophyta; Magnoliopsida; Fabales; Fabaceae.
AGUCAGCAUCCGGACGCCUCCAAUUAUGCAAGUAAUCUUGAAUAAAUUAUUUAUGCCUUAGAUUACUAUUUUCCUUUCAGAACANGUAAACAAGAUAUUACCAAGUCAUCGUCAACAUAGGAAAAAAGUUCUAAAAAGAACCCCCAUCAACAGUCAACAUCUAACGGUUCCACCAUUGUGACUCUGCGCCUACCCCCGAAG